AAACCAUUGUUCCCAAAUAACACAGCUUGUGACAGAAGAGAAGAGUGAACAUGAGUCACAAUUCCACCAUCAUUUUAAGUGGGCAAUGUCCACUAUCAGUGCCACAACCAGACUUGCACCUGCCCUUCCCUUGACCAUGGCUGCUUGGUUUGGUAGACUUCAACUCUUCACUUCCUCAUAGAAUCAUAAAACUGUGGAAUCAUCACAGAAUCAGUAAGUGGUUUGGGUUAGGGAGGGAAUCAUAGAACUAUGGGCCCAUUCAGCUCCAGUCCCCUGCCAUGAGCCAGCUGCCACACACCAGAUCAGCCUGCCCAGGGCCCCAUUCAGCACUGGGCAACUCCAGGGCUUGGGCACCCACAGUUUCACCAUCCCCUGAGCAAAGAAUUUCUUUGUAAUAUCCAAACUAAAUUUCCCCCUCUUUUAGUUUAAAGCCAUUCCCCCUUAUCUAAUCAUUUUUAGACCUUGAACCUGUGCAAAUGAAGUGCCAGUAUGAAAAAAACCAUGAAAUUCAGUAGAGAAUUGCCCACAUGACUACACAGGCUCCUGAGAAGCUUGAAAAUGGAGCACCUAGUACCAUAAUGAACACACUGUACAGUGGCUGUGAUGUCUGUACAUGAAAGUGUUGUGUUAAAGCCUCACAACACCAUCAGAAUGCCUUCUUGUGAAGAUAUUGUCCUUAUAAAUCAUUGGAAGGGAAUUUGCAAUCCAGAAUACAACACACUUCAGAAGAAAGAAACACAAGAAAUCAAAAAGCCCAACAACCUAUGUCACCAGAAAAUACACUAAUUUACACUAAUGCCUUUGCAUUAGGUUGAAAUCAAUGAUUCCGGAAGCAAAGAGCUGCUCAUAAGUCCACUGCCUUGAGUAGUUUUUUCAGCAGGGUAGAAAUAAUUGGUAAACAUGUACCAUUGAGACAGUGUGAAAGAAGAACUGCAAACACCCCAAGCAUUUCCCAUAGUGUCCCAUGGAUUCCUACUGAGGAGGUGGCUAAGAAACAGUUUUCACCAAGGGAAGAGAAUCCACUGAAACCCACAGAGAUCCAGCACUUGUUGAGCACAUCAACAUGGACUGCCUGUAGAAGAUGAUUUCUUCUUUCAUGCCUACCUACCUCUCUUUUAGUACUCUGAAACUGCAGUAAUACAAAUGUCUCCAUCUCCUUUCAUUCCCAUCAUUCUUCCAAUCCCUCUCCAGCUGCUCAUGUCAGUGACAGGGUAAUUUUUCCCCCUAAACCACAAAUAAACAAAUAGUACCAAGGCA
This 1257-nucleotide long non-coding RNA is filed under the name Coturnix japonica (Japanese quail). Its description in RNAcentral is "lncRNA (ENSCJPG00005003662.1)". Lineage: Eukaryota; Metazoa; Chordata; Aves; Galliformes; Phasianidae. The record is from RNAcentral.